Myotis myotis is the source of this 1311-nucleotide long non-coding RNA. RefSeq lists it as uncharacterized. The transcript is spliced from 5 exons. NCBI's taxonomy places the organism in Eukaryota, Metazoa, Chordata, Mammalia, Chiroptera, Vespertilionidae. The record is from RefSeq and is a predicted model, not a curated record.
AGGCAGUCAUGCCACGGUAGUGGCAGUGGCAGCAAGAAGAGCAGCAACAGCUGGGGCCCCCAGCACCUAAAACAGGGAAGAGAACAUUUCUCUAUGUUGAAGCAGCUGUGGUCCCAAAAGGCUGAGGAAAACCAUGCUCUGUCAACCAUUUCCAUAACUCCCCAUGGGUCAAACUUCUUGGUUCCUCUGCUCUUGCAGGUCAUUAAGGUAAUUGCAACUUCCUGACUUCUGACAGCAGACCAAGCAGGUCUUCAGCUGAGUAGCCAAGAGUGAAGGAGAGUGUUAGAUGGACUCUGAUGGCUGUCUUGAUGUAAGCCACGGGUUGUGAAAGAUUUCACAGAGAAAGAGGGAGGAAGUUCUUCUGGGACGAAGGAGAUGCAGAGUGAAAACCUACUUGCCCUGGAAAUGACCACGUUCUCUGCCUGACCCAGAAAGGAGAUCUUGCAUUCUUGCCUCAAAGAAUACCCUUCAGCAUCCAUUUAUAUAAAAACCCAACGACCAUUACAGCGGAACCACCAGGAUGACCAGGACGACCAGAUUGACCGGUGGCUAUGACAUGCACUGUGGAAGCCAACCAGCCUGAUCCGGGCUGGAUUGCCCCCAACACCCCCAUCAGGAUGGGGCCAGCAGGCCAACCACCUUGGCUGGCAGAAAUUUGGGGUUUGGGGACCUUGGAGGUGCUCGGUUUCUGGCAGCUGUGCGGGCAAAGCUCUCCCUUGACAGAAGUGGACCUGGGAUCAGGGUGCCAGAGUUGGGGAUGGGGUGGGGAGGCUUUCCUCUUGGCCACAGCAGUCCCCAGAGGCCGUGCACAGCACCCGGGCAUCUGGCCCUGUUUGGAGCAGCAGCAGGAAUAGGGGCCGUGGGGCUCAGAGGGCGGCAGCACACAGGAGCCAGGAAGUGCGAGGCCUGACCUGGGUUUUUACCUUGCCAGCUGGGCCCAGCAGCACCAGCAGGUGGGUCAUAGUGUGCAGUGAGGCGCUGGGCCACGACCAGAGUGGAAGCGAGCCAGGAAGGCAAGGCCCUGUGCCGGACAGAGCUUCGAGUGGCAUGGGCAGGGCAGGAGCUGGAAACCCUGGCAGAGUGGGAGGGGCUGCAGCCCCAUGCCUUUUCGGCUUUGGCCUUGGAAUUCUGUGGGUAACCAGUGUACUGGCUACCAGCGUGUCAGAGGUCAGCUCUGCUUCAAGAGAUUUGAUUUGUCCUAACCAGUUUGGCUCAGUGGCUAGAGUGUCGGCCUGCGGACUGAAAGGUCUCAGGUUCGAUUCCGGUCAAGGACAUGAACCUUAGUUGCAGGCACAUCCCCAGUAGGAGGUG